Molecule: ribosomal RNA, 480 nt
Filed under: uncultured bacterium
Lineage: Bacteria
Description: bacterial SSU rRNA
Rfam family: Bacterial small subunit ribosomal RNA
Source: RNAcentral
AUGAACGCUGGCGGCGUGUCUUAGGCAUGCAAGUCGAACGAAACAGUUUGAGAUUAUAUCAAUGAUUGUUUAGUGGCAGACGGGUGCGUAUGACAGUGGUAACCUACCUCUAACAUGAGCACAACUCCGCGAAAGCGGAGCUAAUUCUCAAUAGUAAUGCGGGGUCAUAAGACAUUCGCAUUUAAAGGUCCCGCCUUUGGCGGGAUCGGUUAGAGAAGGGCCUUUGAUUUAUCAGCUAGUUGGUGAGGUAAAAGCUCACCAAGGCGAUGACGAAUAGGGGGUGUGAGAGCACGACCCCCCUCACUGGGACUGAGAUACUGCCCAGACACCUACGGGUGGCUGCAGUCAAGAAUAUUCCCCAAUGGCCGAAAGGCUGAGGGAGCGACGCCGCGUGGUUGAAGAAGUCCUUCGGGAUGUAAAAACCUUUUGCUAGGGAAAAAUACUGAUUGUACCUAGCGAAUAAGAGGUGGCUAACUCUGU